AUUGAACGCUGGCGGCAGGCCUAACACAUGCAAGUCGAGCGGACGAAGGGAGCUUGCUCCUGGAUUCAGCUGCGGACGGGUGAGUAAUGCCUAGGAAUCUGCCCGGUAGUGGGGGCUAACGUCCGUAAACGGGCGCUAAUACCGCAUACGCCCUGAGGGAGAAAGUGGGGGAUCUUCGGACCUCACGCUAUCAGAUGAGCCUAGGUCGGAUUAGCUAGUUGGUGAGGUAAAGGCCUACCAAGGCGACGAUCCGUAGCUGGUCUGAGAGGAUGAUCAGUCACACUGGAACUGAGACACGGUCCAGACUCCUACGGGAGGCAGCAGUAGGGAAUAUUCGGCAAUGGGCGAAAGCCUGAUGCAGCAAUGCCGCGUGUGUGAAGAAGGUCUUCGGAUUGUAAAGCACUUUUAGUUGGGAGGAAGAGCAGUAAGUUAAUACAUGGAUGUUUUGACGUUACCAACACAGUAAGCACCGGCUAACUUCGUG
This 484-nucleotide ribosomal RNA is filed under the name uncultured bacterium. RNAcentral describes it as "partial 16S ribosomal RNA". It matches the Rfam family "Bacterial small subunit ribosomal RNA", at positions 30 to 507 of the family's 1533-position model. The record is from RNAcentral.